This 467-nucleotide long non-coding RNA is filed under the name Manihot esculenta (cassava). RNAcentral's name for it is "long non-coding RNA (MESC_LNC003580)". Lineage: Eukaryota; Viridiplantae; Streptophyta; Magnoliopsida; Malpighiales; Euphorbiaceae. The record is from RNAcentral.
AAAUCAACACAGCUCUCUAGACAAAGCAAAAGUUAAGUUAGAAAGACUACAACAAUCAACUAACCUUGUGUAGUGAUGAGUCUAUAAACAUGGCCAAGAACAAGAGUAUCCGUAGGCUUGAGAAGCUUAAUUCUCGUAACCCGAAGAGAGUUGUUGUUGCUGUUGUUGUUGUUGGUGGUGGUGGUGGUGGUGGUGGUGGUGGUGGUGGUGGUGGAGGCGGCGUUGCUGGGGCAUUCAUCAUUCUUAUGAGUGGGAUACAAGGUGGUGGAGAGAAGAAGAGCCACAUAGUGACCAGGGUUCAUCUUCAUAAUCUCAGCAGCACUCACAGGCCAAUAGAACUUGUCAACUUUCCCACUUGGGUACUGUAUAAUAAGCGUCGCAGCAUCUACAGCUUGACAAUUCCCCAUUUCUCUUUCUUUUCUUACAGACAACUCAAGGAAGCAGGCAGAGAGAGAGAGGGAGAGGAU